UUAAAAGAAAUUCAUCAAGAAAACUCAAAUUCUUGAACAAAGGCAUUUCUCUGUCUGUAUGGGUAUGCAGUUGAGAUUGAACCCUUGUUCUUCAUCUUCAGCUGCAACUUCUCCUUCAACUUUACAUAAUGGAGCACCAUAUUUCUGCAAAAAGUUUAACUUUUUACCAUUUAGAACCCAACCCCUCAAUUGGGUAUCUGGAAUUUACUCAAGAAUCCAACCAAGAGAGCAUUUUGAAGUCUUUUCCUCAAAUGGGUUUCCACUUAAUGCAGUGUCUGUGCAAGAUGAACAAGUGCCUUUGACAGAGUUAGGAAGUGGAGAGACCACUGUCAGCAUAACUGUUAUUGGAG
RNAcentral lists this unclassified non-coding RNA (350 nucleotides) under Hevea brasiliensis (rubber tree). The record is from RNAcentral. Lineage: Eukaryota; Viridiplantae; Streptophyta; Magnoliopsida; Malpighiales; Euphorbiaceae.